RNAcentral lists this transfer RNA (72 nucleotides) under Paramuricea clavata. Its description in RNAcentral is "tRNA-Thr". The stretch from base 6 to 65 matches the Rfam family "tRNA", at positions 7 to 64 of the family's 71-position model. Rfam says of the family: Transfer RNA (tRNA) molecules are approximately 80 nucleotides in length. Lineage: Eukaryota; Metazoa; Cnidaria; Anthozoa; Malacalcyonacea; Plexauridae. The record is from RNAcentral.
ACUGCGUAGCUCAGUUGGAAGAGCAUUGGGCUAGUAUUCCAAAGGUCGUAGGUUCGAAUCCCACCAUGGCCG